RNAcentral lists this transfer RNA (66 nucleotides) under Beraea pullata. Its description in RNAcentral is "tRNA-Tyr". It matches the Rfam family "tRNA". Rfam says of the family: Transfer RNA (tRNA) molecules are approximately 80 nucleotides in length. Their secondary structure includes four short double-helical elements and three loops (D, anti-codon, and T loops). Lineage: Eukaryota; Metazoa; Arthropoda; Insecta; Trichoptera; Beraeidae. The record is from RNAcentral.
AGUAAUAUGGCUGAAGUUUAAGCAAUAAAUUGUAAAUUUAUUUAUAAGAUAAAAUCUUUUUUACUA